UCCGAGUUGUCCCCGGCAGUCUCCCAUGAGUCCCCGCCAUUACGCGCUGGCAACAUGGGAUAGGGGUUGCGCUCGUUGCGGGACUUAACCCAACAUCUCAUGACACGAGCUGACGACAGCCAUGCACCACCUGUACACCUCGGACGAACCCACUGCAUCUCUGCAGAUGAACGGUGUAUGUCAAGCCCAGGUAAGGUUCUUCGCGUUGCUUCGAAUUAAGCCACAUGCUCCGCCGCUUGUGCGGGCCCCCGUCAAUUUCUUUGAGUUUCAUCCUUGCGGACGUACUUCCCAGGUGGAUUACUUAACGCUUUCGCUUGGUCACACAAAGUGUGUCUCGUAUGACGAGUAAUCAUCGUUUAGGGCGUGGACUAC
This 372-nucleotide unclassified non-coding RNA is filed under the name uncultured Actinomycetes bacterium. RNAcentral describes it as "uncultured actinobacterium contains 16S-23S intergenic spacer region". The record is from RNAcentral. Lineage: Bacteria; Bacillati; Actinomycetota; Actinomycetes.